Molecule: ribosomal RNA, 850 nt
Filed under: uncultured bacterium
Lineage: Bacteria
Description: bacterial SSU rRNA
Rfam family: Bacterial small subunit ribosomal RNA
Source: RNAcentral
CUCCUGCAGUCGAGCGGUACAGGUGUAGCAAUACAUGCUGACGAGCGGCGGACGGGUGAGUAACGCUAGGGAAUCUGCCUGUUAGUGGGGGACAACACGGGGAAACUCGUGCUAAUACCGCAUACGCACUACGGUGGAAAGCCGGGGACCGCAAGGCCUGGCGCUAACAGAUGAGCCCAAGUCGGAUUAGCUAGUUGGUAGGGUAACGGCCUACCAAGGCGACGAUCCGUAACUGGUCUGAGAGGACGACCAGUCACACCGGAACUGAGACACGGUCCGGACUCCUACGGGAGGCAGCAGUGGGGAAUAUUGGACAAUGGGGGAAACCCUGAUCCAGCGACGCCGCGUGGGUGAAGAAGGCCUGCGGGUUGUAAAGCCCUUUCGGUUGGGAAGAAAAGCUGUGACCUAACACGUUGCGGCCUUGACGUAACCAACUAAAGAAGCACCGGCUAACUCUGUGCCAGCAGCCGCGGUAAUACAGAGGGUGCGAGCGUUAAUCGGAAUUACUGGGCGUAAAGCGCGCGUAGGCGGCUUUGCAAGCCGGAUGUGAAAUCCCCGGGCUUAACCUGGGAACUGCAUUCGGGACUGCAUUGCUAGAGUAUGGGAGAGGGAAGUGGAAUUUCAGGUGUAGCGGUGAAAUGCGUAGAUAUCUGAAGGAACAUCAGUGGCGAAAGCGACUUCCUGGACCAAUACUGACGCUCAUGUGCGAAAGCGUGGGGAGCAAACAGGAUUAGAUACCCUGGUAGUCCACGCCAUAAACGAUGAGAACUGGAUGUCGGGAGGGUCUGCCUCUCGGUGUCGUAGCUAACGCGUUAAGUUCUCCGCCUGGGGAGUACGGCCGCAAGGUUGA